This 412-nucleotide ribosomal RNA is filed under the name uncultured bacterium. Its description in RNAcentral is "bacterial SSU rRNA". It matches the Rfam family "Bacterial small subunit ribosomal RNA", at positions 355 to 764 of the family's 1533-position model. The record is from RNAcentral.
UGAGGAAUAUUGGGCAAUGCCCGCAAGGGUGACCCAGCAACGCCGCGUGGAGGAUGAAUGUCGUAAGAUUGUAAACUCCUGUUAGAGGGGAAGAAUAGUACCGGUUGGACCGGUAUAUGACUGUACCCUCAGAGAAAGCCCCGGCUAACUACGUGCCAGCAGCCGCGGUAAUACGUAGGGGGCAAGCGUUGUCCGGAUUUACUGGGUGUAAAGGGCGCGCAGGCGGGAUAAAAAGUCAGUGGUGAAAUCCUACAGCUUAACUGUAGAACUGCCUUUGAUACGUUUAUUCUUGAGUUCGGGAGAGAGAGACGGAAUUCCAGGUGGAGUGGGGAAAUACGUAGAUAUCUGGAAGAACACCAGUUGCGAAGGCGGUCUCUUGGUCCGACACUGACGCUGAGGCGCGAAAGCGUGG